This is a small nucleolar RNA of Loxodonta africana (African savanna elephant), 128 nucleotides long. Ensembl annotates it as small nucleolar RNA ACA64. Lineage: Eukaryota; Metazoa; Chordata; Mammalia; Proboscidea; Elephantidae. The record is from Ensembl.
GCUAGUUGAAAAUCGCCUGCGGCCUCGCCCGUGGCCACGGGUGAGAUUCGGCGCCCAGAACCACCAGGGGCCUCAGCUCACCGCCAACUGCCUUGAUGUGGGCGGCCGAAACCCAGGCCCCGACAGGC